ACGGCACUAUGUCAAUUCAUCUGUUGGUAGGAGAGCGAGGACCAGAGACAAUCAGUCAGGAGGAGCAAUAAUCUUAAAGUUGGUUGGAAUCAGCUUUGGUCUGCUGUGCAUCAUCCAGUCUGCUGUUAAUGUUUAUAGCUGGCUCCAAGCUGAUGGGACUUCAGGUGGCUCAAAAAACAAUUCAACGUGCAAUAUCACCCUAUUGUCACCUGAUGACAUCUCAGCUGUACUCUUAGAGAGAGACCAGUUGCUUCAGGAGAAAAAACAACUUACUGAAGCGAAUGAUCGGCUGAAUCAAUAUAACGAAAGACUGCUUGAAGAAAACAGCCAGCUGUAUCGACAUGAAACACAACUCAUUCAAGAGAAAAAACAACUGGAGAAGAAGAACAAUGAGCUAAAGGCCACCAAUAGACACCUAACUGAACAGAAGAGGAUGUGUAAUGACAAUAUCAUCAGUCAACAAGUUCAGAUAAGGGAUCUUCAGUCCGAACUAGACAGGGUGAAAGAAUUGUGCCGCCCACUGCAGUGCAACCCUCUGCCUGUGCCAUCAAUGAUGCCUGUCCCCCCAAUGCCUC
Long non-coding RNA from Astatotilapia calliptera (eastern happy), 575 nucleotides. The record is from Ensembl. Lineage: Eukaryota; Metazoa; Chordata; Actinopteri; Cichliformes; Cichlidae.